UCGGAUCAAGUGGAUCCUUCCGGACCCGCUUUCCGCAUCCUUUUCGGAACGACGCCAGCAAACGGAGGCGGAAGAAGGCCUAAAAAUCCGAAGCGUUCUCCUGUUCCGGCAUCGGAGAGCUCUGCUCGAUUUCCGUCUUCAUCUCGAUCUCGCGAGAAUAAGGGAGCAGAGAUUAUAGAGUCAGUUCUAUAAGUUGGAAUCAUGCCUUCUCAAAA
Molecule: non-coding RNA, 215 nt
Organism: Phoenix dactylifera (date palm)
Lineage: Eukaryota; Viridiplantae; Streptophyta; Magnoliopsida; Arecales; Arecaceae
Source: RefSeq, a predicted model, not a curated record